Molecule: long non-coding RNA, 507 nt
Filed under: Homo sapiens (human)
Lineage: Eukaryota; Metazoa; Chordata; Mammalia; Primates; Hominidae
Description: HSALNT0349125
Source: RNAcentral
GGGGGAAAGGGAGAGUAUCAUGGUUACAGCUGGAUCACCUAAGGCAGAGAGGGAAGGAACCAACAGGUAUAUGAAGAAGACUGUAUUUCCUCCUCAGGAAGAAAAAAUCACCUAUAAGAUCCAUGGCUAUAACUGCUACCAAGCUCUGGGCUGCAGUAGUGUAUCAUCCAUAACGCAAAUAAGGUGCCUAAACCCUAUAUUGAAGGCUACAGAGAGGACUACAUUGAGACUUGGCAAAGUCCUAUAGAAGUUUUGUUUUCUUAUGGUAAACUAAUACAACAUAUAGCAUUGAUACAAAGGAUGCACUAAAGGAUGGACACAAAUGAAAGAACUGAGACAUGAAUUUGUUCUUAAGAAAAUUAUUCUCCAUUCUUUGAGAAGUCAACUGAAUAGGAUGAAGAAACUGCUCUAUGUUAUCAAGUUUUUAAAUUUUGUAUUUACUUAUUUACUUUUGUUGUUACUUAAAUCAACUUUAAAAUAAAAUAAAAUUUAUAUUUGAGUACAAAA